This 362-nucleotide ribosomal RNA is filed under the name Staphylococcus aureus. RNAcentral's name for it is "bacterial SSU rRNA". It matches the Rfam family "Bacterial small subunit ribosomal RNA", at positions 318 to 672 of the family's 1533-position model. The record is from RNAcentral. Lineage: Bacteria; Bacillati; Bacillota; Bacilli; Caryophanales; Staphylococcaceae.
ACUGAGACACGGUCCAGACUCCUACGGGAGGCAGCAGUGGGGAAUAUUGCACAAUGGGCGCAAGCCUGAUGCAGCCAUGCCGCGUGUAUGAAGAAGGCCUUCGGGUUGUAAAGUACUUUCAGCGGGGAGGAAGGGAGUAAAGUUAAUACCUUUGCUCAUUGACGUUACCCGCAGAAGAAGCACCGGCUAACUCCGUGCCAGCAGCCGCGGUAAUACGGAGGGUGCAAGCGUUAAUCGGAAUUACUGGGCGUAAAGCGCACGCAGGCGGUUUGUUAAGUCAGAUGUGAAAUCCCCGGGCUCAACCUGGGAACUGCAUCUGAUACUGGCAAGCUUGAGUCUCGUAGAGGGGGGUAGAAUUCCAG